This 1040-nucleotide ribosomal RNA is filed under the name uncultured bacterium. Its description in RNAcentral is "bacterial SSU rRNA". It matches the Rfam family "Bacterial small subunit ribosomal RNA", at positions 8 to 1056 of the family's 1533-position model. The record is from RNAcentral.
AGAGUUUGAUCAUGGCUCAGGACGAACGUUGGCGGCGCGCUUUAUGCAUGCAAGUCGAGGGAGAAGCGUUGGUUCCGCAAGGUUCCGACGUGGAAACCGGCGAACGGGUGCGUAACACGUGAGAAACCUGCCCCCCAGACCGGGAUAGCCCAGGGAAACUUGGAUUAAUACCGGAUACUCUCUUCGGACCGCAUGGUCCGUUGAGGAAAGGUCCGCUGCUGGGGGAUGGUCUCGCGGCCUAUCAGGUAGUUGGUGAGGUAACGGCUCACCAAGCCGAAGACGGGUAGCUGGUCUGAGAGGACGAUCAGCCACACUGGAACUGAGACACGGUCCAGACUCCUACGGGAGGCAGCAGCAGGGAAUAUUGCACAAUGGGCGAAAGCCUGAUGCAGCGACGCCGCGUGCGGGAUGAAGGCCUUCGGGUUGUAAACCGCUUUCAGGAGGGAAGAAACUGACGGUACCUCCAGAAGAAGCUCCGGCCAACUACGUGCCAGCAGCCGCGGUAAUACGUAGGGAGCGAACGUUGUCCGGAAUUAUUGGGCGUAAAGGGCUCGUAGGCGGUUCAGCAAGUCGGUCGUGAAAGCCCGGGGCUCAACCCCGGGACGCCGGUCGAAACUGCUGUGACUUGAGUUCGGUAGAGGUGAGUGGAAUUCUCGGUGUAGCGGUGGAAUGCGCAGAUAUCGAGAGGAACACCCGUAGCGAAGGCGGCUCACUGGGCCGAUACUGACGCUGAGGAGCGAAAGCGUGGGGAGCAAACAGGAUUAGAUACCCUGGUAGUCCACGCCGUAAACGAUGAACACUAGGUGUAGCGGAUUGAUUCAUGUCUGCUGUGCCGUAGCUAACGCAUUAAGUGUUCCGCCUGGGGAGUACGGCCGCAAGGCUAAAACUCAAAGGAAUUGACGGGGCCCCGCACAAGCGGCGGAGCAUGCGGCUUAAUUCGAUGCAACCCGAAGAACCUUACCUGGGUUUGACAUCAUGGGUCUAGCUGUGGAAACACAGUGUGCUUACGCGCCCAUGACAGGUGGUGCAUGGCUGUCGUC